AUUGAACGCUGGCGGCAGGCCUAACACAUGCAAGUCGAGCGGAUGAAGGGAGCUUGCUCCUGGAUUCAGCGGCGGACGGGUGAGUAAUGCCUAGGAAUCUGCCUGGUAGUGGGGGAUAACGUCCGGAAACGGGCGCUAAUACCGCAUACGUCCUGAGGGAGAAAGUGGGGGAUCUUCGGACCUCACGCUAUCAGAUGAGCCUAGGUCGGAUUAGCUAGUUGGUGGGGUAAAGGCCUACCAAGGCGACGAUCCGUAACUGGUCUGAGAGGAUGAUCAGUCACACUGGAACUGAGACACGGUCCAGACUCCUACGGGAGGCAGCAGUGGGGAAUAUUGGACAAUGGGCGAAAGCCUGAUCCAGCCAUGCCGCGUGUGUGAGGAAGGUCUUCGGAUUGUAAAGCACUUUAAGUUGGAAGGAAGGGCAGUAAGUUAAUACCUUGCUGUUUUGACGUUACCAACAGAAUAAGCACCGGCUAACUUCGUG
Molecule: ribosomal RNA, 484 nt
Filed under: uncultured bacterium
Lineage: Bacteria
Description: partial 16S ribosomal RNA
Rfam family: Bacterial small subunit ribosomal RNA
Source: RNAcentral